CUGUGGUUGAAAGUCGAUGCCAGUCGCAGGCGAAGCGAUCCACGUAAGGAGCUCAAAGCAGCUCUGAUCAUAGUGCGGCCUAGAAGUAAGACCUGCCGCGAAACGGCGAGAGAAGUAGUAGUGGGGGAUAUACAUCUAUGAGCGAACCUUCCAGCAGGCGAGUGUGGGGGUAAAGACCAGGUCAGGCA
RNAcentral lists this non-coding RNA (188 nucleotides) under Megasphaera stantonii. RNAcentral describes it as "raiA RNA". It matches the Rfam family "raiA RNA". The record is from RNAcentral. Lineage: Bacteria; Bacillati; Bacillota; Negativicutes; Veillonellales; Veillonellaceae.